GGUUAAGCGACUAAGCGUACACGGUGGAUGCCCUGGCAGUCAGAGGCGAUGAAGGACGUGCUAAUCUGCGAAAAGCGUCGGUAAGGUGAUAUGAACCGUUAUAACCGGCGAUGUCCGAAUGGGGAAACCCAGUGCAAUUCGUUGCACUAUCGUUAACUGAAUACAUAGGUUAACGAGGCGAACCGGGGGAACUGAAACAUCUAAGUACCCCGAGGAAAAGAAAUCAACCGAGAUUCCCCCAGUAGCGGCGAGCGAACGGGGAGCAGCCCAGAGUCUGAAUCAGCUUGUGUGUUAGUGGAACGGUCUGGAAAGUCCGACGGUACAGGGUGAUAGUCCCGUACACCAAAAUGCACAGGUUGUGAACUCGAAGAGUAGGGCGGGACACGUGGUAUCCUGUCUGAAUAUGGGGGGACCAUCCUCCAAGGCUAAAUACUCCUGACUGACCGAUAGUGAACCAGUACCGUGAGGGAAAGGCGAAAAGAACCCCGGCGAGGGGAGUGAAAAAGAACCUGAAACCGUGUACGUACAAGCAGUGGGAGCACCUUCGGGUGUGACUGCGUACCUUUUGUAUAAUGGGUCAGCGACUUAUAUUCUGUAGCAAGGUUAACCGUAUAGGGGAGCCGCAGGGAAACCGAGUCUUAACUGGGCGUUAAGUUGCAGGGUAUAGACCCGAAACCCGGUGAUCUAGCCAUGGGCAGGUUGAAGGUUGGGUAACACUAACUGGAGGACCGAACCGACUAAUGUUGAAAAAUUAGCGGAUGACUUGUGGCUGGGGGUGAAAGGCCAAUCAAACCGGGAGAUAGCUGGUUCUCCCCGAAAGCUAUUUAGGUAGCGCCUCGUGAAUUCAUCUUCGGGGGUAGAGCACUGUUUCGGCUAGGGGGUCAUCCCGACUUACCAACCCGAUGCAAACUACGAAUACCGAAGAAUGUUAUCACGGGAGACACACGGCGGGUGCUAACGUCCGUCGUGAAGAGGGAAACAACCCAGACCGCCAGCUAAGGUCCCAAAGUCAUGGUUAAGUGGGAAACGAUGUGGGAAGGCACAGACAGCCAGGAUGUUGGCUUAGAAGCAGCCAUCAUUUAAAGAAAGCGUAAUAGCUCACUGGUCGAGUCGGCCUGCGCGGAAGAUGUAACGGGGCUAAACCAUGCACCGAAGCUGCGGCAGCGACACUAUGUGUUGUUGGGUAGGGGAGCGUUCUGUAAGCCUGCGAAGGUGUGCUGUGAGGCAUGCUGGAGGUAUCAGAAGUGCGAAUGCUGACAUAAGUAACGAUAAAGCGGGUGAAAAGCCCGCUCGCCGGAAGACCAAGGGUUCCUGUCCAACGUUAAUCGGGGCAGGGUGAGUCGACCCCUAAGGCGAGGCCGAAAGGCGUAGUCGAUGGGAAACAGGUUAAUAUUCCUGUACUUGGUGUUACUGCGAAGGGGGGACGGAGAAGGCUAUGUUAGCCGGGCGACGGUUGUCCCGGUUUAAGCAUGUAGGCUGGUUGUCCAGGCAAAUCCGGAUAAUCAAGGCUGAGGUGUGAUGACGAGGCACUACGGUGCUGAAGUAACAAAUGCCCUGCUUCCAGGAAAAGCCUCUAAGCAUCAGGUAACAUCAAAUCGUACCCCAAACCGACACAGGUGGUCAGGUAGAGAAUACCAAGGCGCUUGAGAGAACUCGGGUGAAGGAACUAGGCAAAAUGGUGCCGUAACUUCGGGAGAAGGCACGCUGGUGUGUAGGUGAAGUCCCUGCGGAUGGAGCUGAGACCAGUCGAAGAUACCAGCUGGCUGCAACUGUUUAUUAAAAACACAGCACUGUGCAAACACGAAAGUGGACGUAUACGGUGUGACGCCUGCCCGGUGCCGGAAGGUUAAUUGAUGGGGUUAUCCGUAAGGAGAAGCUCUUGAUCGAAGCCCCGGUAAACGGCGGCCGUAACUAUAACGGUCCUAAGGUAGCGAAAUUCCUUGUCGGGUAAGUUCCGACCUGCACGAAUGGCGUAAUGAUGGCCAGGCUGUCUCCACCCGAGACUCAGUGAAAUUGAACUCGCUGUGAAGAUGCAGUGUACCCGCGGCAAGACGGAAAGACCCCGUGAACCUUUACUAUAGCUUGACACUGAACAUUGAGCCUUGAUGUGUAGGAUAGGUGGGAGGCUUUGAAGCGUGGACGCCAGUCUGCGUGGAGCCAACCUUGAAAUACCACCCUUUAAUGUUUGAUGUUCUAACGUUGGCCCCUUACCGGGGUUGCGGACAGUGUCUGGUGGGUAGUUUGACUGGGGCGGUCUCCUCCCAAAGCGUAACGGAGGAGCACGAAGGUUAGCUAAUCCUGGUCGGACAUCAGGAGGUUAGUGCAAUGGCAUAAGCUAGCUUGACUGCGAGCGUGACGGCGCGAGCAGGUGCGAAAGCAGGUCAUAGUGAUCCGGUGGUUCUGAAUGGAAGGGCCAUCGCUCAACGGAUAAAAGGUACUCCGGGGAUAACAGGCUGAUACCGCCCAAGAGUUCAUAUCGACGGCGGUGUUUGGCACCUCGAUGUCGGCUCAUCACAUCCUGGGGCUGAAGUAGGUCCCAAGGGUAUGGCUGUUCGCCAUUUAAAGUGGUACGCGAGCUGGGUUUAGAACGUCGUGAGACAGUUCGGUCCCUAUCUGCCGUGGGCGCUGGAGAAUUGAGGGGGGCUGCUCCUAGUACGAGAGGACCGGAGUGGACGCAUCACUGGUGUUCGGGUUGUCAUGCCAAUGGCACUGCCCGGUAGCUAAAUGCGGAAGAGAUAAGUGCUGAAAGCAUCUAAGCACGAAACUUGCCCCGAGAUGAGUUCUCCCUGAGACUAUAAGUCUCCUGAAGGAACGUUGAAGACGACGACGUUGAUAGGCCGGGUGUGUAAGCGCAGCGAUGCGUUGAGCUAACCGGUACUAAUGAACCGUGAGGCUUAACCUU
Molecule: ribosomal RNA, 2902 nt
Filed under: Klebsiella pneumoniae
Lineage: Bacteria; Pseudomonadati; Pseudomonadota; Gammaproteobacteria; Enterobacterales; Enterobacteriaceae
Description: 23S ribosomal RNA
Rfam family: Bacterial large subunit ribosomal RNA
Source: RNAcentral